This 440-nucleotide ribosomal RNA is filed under the name uncultured bacterium. RNAcentral's name for it is "partial 16S ribosomal RNA". It matches the Rfam family "Bacterial small subunit ribosomal RNA", at positions 338 to 795 of the family's 1533-position model. The record is from RNAcentral.
CCUACGGGGGGCAGCAGUGGGGAAUAUUGCACAAUGGGGGAAACCCUGAUGCAGCGACGCCGCGUGAGUGAAGAAGUAUUUCGGAACGUAAAGCUCUAUCAUCAGGGAAGAUAAUGACGGUACCUGACUACUAUGCCCCGGCUAACUACGUGCCAGCAGCCGCGGUAAUACGUAGGGGGGAAGCGUUAUCCGGAUUUACUGGGUGUAAAGGGUGCGUAGGUGGCAGGGCAAGGCAGAUGUGAAAGCGCGGGGCUCAACCCAGGUACAGCAAUUGAAACUGUCCAGCUGGAGUGCAGGAGAGGUAAGCGGAAUUCCUAGUGUAGCGGUGAAAUGCGUAGAUAUUAGGAGGAACACCAGUGGCGAAGGCGGUUUACUGGACUGUAACUGACACUGAGGCACGAAAGCGUGGGGAGCAAACAGGAUUAGAUACCCCAGUAGUC